GGGCCUGUAGUUCAGUGGUUAGAACACCCCGCUCAUAACGGGUAGGUCGCAGGUUCAAAUCCCGCCAGGCCCACCA
This 76-nucleotide transfer RNA is filed under the name Rickettsiaceae bacterium. RNAcentral describes it as "tRNA-Met". It matches the Rfam family "tRNA". From Rfam's summary of the family: Transfer RNA (tRNA) molecules are approximately 80 nucleotides in length. Their secondary structure includes four short double-helical elements and three loops (D, anti-codon, and T loops). Further hydrogen bonds mediate the characteristic L-shaped molecular structure. tRNAs have two regions of fundamental functional importance: the anti-codon, which is responsible for specific mRNA codon recognition, and the 3' end, to which the tRNAs corresponding amino acid is attached (by aminoacyl-tRNA synthetases). tRNAs cope with the degeneracy of the genetic code in two manners: having more than one tRNA (with a specific anti-codon) for a particular amino acid; and 'wobble' base-pairing, i.e. permitting non-standard base-pairing at the 3rd anti-codon position. The record is from RNAcentral. Lineage: Bacteria; Pseudomonadati; Pseudomonadota; Alphaproteobacteria; Rickettsiales; Rickettsiaceae.